This 502-nucleotide ribosomal RNA is filed under the name uncultured bacterium. Its description in RNAcentral is "bacterial SSU rRNA". It matches the Rfam family "Bacterial small subunit ribosomal RNA", at positions 30 to 516 of the family's 1533-position model. The record is from RNAcentral.
AUUGAACGCUGGCGGCAUGCCUUACACAUGCAAGUCGAACGGUAACAGGUCUUCGGAUGCUGACGAGUGGCGAACGGGUGAGUAAUACAUCGGAACGUGCCCGAUCGUGGGGGAUAACGGAGCGAAAGCUUUGCUAAUACCGCAUACGAUCUCAGGAUGAAAGCAGGGGACCGCAAGGCCUUGCGCUCACGGAGCGGCCGAUGGCAUAUUAGGUAGUUGGUGGGAUAAAAGCUUACCAAGCCGACGAUCUGUAGCUGGUCUGAGAGGACGACCAGCCACACUGGAACUGAGACACGGUCCAGACUCCUACGGGAGGCAGCAGUGGGGAAUUUUGGACAAUGGGCGCAAGCCUGAUCCAGCCAUUCCGCGUGCAGGAUGAAGGCCUUCGGUUGGUAACUAGCUUUGUUACGGUAACGAAACGGACGGAGACGUCUAAUACAAGUUUGUCUAAUGACGGUACCGUAACGAAUAAGACACCGGCCUAACUAACGUGCCAGCAGCC